Molecule: ribosomal RNA, 365 nt
Filed under: uncultured bacterium
Lineage: Bacteria
Description: partial 16S ribosomal RNA
Rfam family: Bacterial small subunit ribosomal RNA
Source: RNAcentral
CCUACGGGCGGCAGCAGGGAGGAAUAUUGGGCAAUGGACGAGAGUCUGAACCAGCCAAGUAGCGUGAAGGAUGACUGCCCUAUGGGUUGUAAACUUCUGGUAUAUGGGAAUAAAAUGUGCCACGUGGGGGAUUUUGUAUGUACCAUAUGAAUAAGGAUCGGCUAACUCCGUGCCAGCAGCCGCGGUAAUACGGAGGAACCGAGCGUUAUCCGGAUUUAUUGGGGUUAAAGGGAGCGUAGGUGGAUUGUUAAGUCAGUUGGGAAAGUUUGCGGCUCAACCGUAAAAUUGCAGUUGAAACUGGCAGUCUUGACUACAGUAGCGGUGGGCGGACUUCGUGGUGUCGCGGUGAACUGCUUCGAUCUCAC